Long non-coding RNA from Populus trichocarpa (black cottonwood), 1051 nucleotides. RefSeq lists it as uncharacterized. Lineage: Eukaryota; Viridiplantae; Streptophyta; Magnoliopsida; Malpighiales; Salicaceae. The record is from RefSeq and is a predicted model, not a curated record. The transcript has 2 exons.
GGUCACCAUCCUCCCCUGAUACUCUCUAGAGUCUAGACUCCACACUCAUCUCCUGUCCCCGUGCCACCCGUGAUGCUCUCUUCGCCAUCAGUGCCACCGGAAGAUGUUAUCACCAUUGUCACUGCAACUCCAGGAUACGGGUGCACUACAUUAUUUCUUAGGAGUGGAAGUCCUACCCCUUCGAGAUGGCAUCUUCCUUUCCCAGCAUAAGUACAUCCAUGAUUUAUUGCAUAAUACAAAGAUGAACGGUGCUCAAGAAGUUCGCACUCCUCUUUCCACAAGCCUACCUCUCAAGCUCCAUGAUGGUACUGCUUCCUUUGAUAGCACUGAAUACAGAAAGGGUUCUGGGAAGUCUUCAAUACCUCUCCCUCACUCGACCAGGCAUCUCUUUCGCUGUGAAUAAGCUGUCCCAAUUCAUGCAAAAACCAACUCAAACCCACUGGACAACAACUAAGAGGCUGCUGCACUACUUAAAGCAAAUCAUCUUCCAUGGACUCAAGCUAACUUGCUGGCCUUUUCUGAUGCUGACUGUGGUAGGCAACCUUGAUGAUCGAACCGCAACUUCAGUAUACAUCACCUUUGUAGGCUCCAAUCCCAUCUCAUGGAGCUCAAAGAGAUGACGUGCCACUACACGAUCAUCAACUGAAGCUGAGUACAGGGCCCCUGCUACUGCAGCCUCUGAAACUAUGCGGAUACAUUCCUUUCUUCAGUAACUACACUUCAAGCUCCACUCCCCUUCGCCAUCUGGUUCAAAUGGGCACUCUUCAAGUCAGGCAUGUGCACACUCAAGACCAGCUGGCUGAUUUAAUGACGAAGCCUCUUUCACGGCAACGAACAGAACUCCCCAGAGGCAAAAUUGCUUGCUGAUGACAGCUCAAUUUUGAGGGGGUUUAUCAAAGCAAAUUACCCUUCAGCAAACUCAACAGAAUCCUAGCCUACAAUCAUGCAGAUUCUUACUAAAACUAGUACCACUGAUUACCAUAAUCUGUGUAGCAGAAUUCUAGCCAACAAAUUUGUAUUCUUCUAUUUUUAGCAUACUGUAAUUCCUUCA